GCCAACAUGGGUAUAUUUUGUAGUCCUACUUUUUCUUCACAAAUUUUGGUUUGGUCGUUGUUUUUUGGUCUUUUUUUAUGUUACUUCGUUUCCUGUUAGUAAUAAACAACGGCUCUUCUUAGACUUCUAUUAUCUCCUGGACAUUGAUUGUACAGACUAAAGCAAAUAGUGCACACCACGUACACUUCCUCUCCGUCUCUACCACAGACACCUCCUCUCGGUCUAUGAACCACCGCCCUCUCCGUCUCUGAACCACCGCCCUCUGUCUUCCUCUCCGUCUCGGCGAACUCCGUAGCUGGACGUUUAUUCUACUUAUCAUUCCAUCUCUCAAGAACCUCAUCUGCGGUGAAGUGGCUACUAUCAGUGGAGAAAACGUUCUGGGGUCGCACUCAUCUGUUGAAUCUGAUACUUCUGAUGGUAGUAACGGUGAGACAUCGACUCAGUAUCAGGAAGAGGAGCGAGACGUGGAAAUGGAAGAUGAAUUGACUGAAGAACUUUAGAGAGGAGAUGCUUUGUCUGACUAUGACAUUACAUUGACUAAAGAAGGGGAAGCCAUAAAUGAGUAUCUGGCGUUGAUUGCUAUUGUGGAAGACAAAACUGAGAAAGUUUCAUCUUCAGAGUGACCGGUAACAAGUGAUAUAACUUCUACUAAUCUUGGCAAAAAUCAACUUAUCUCUGUAUUACCUGUCAAUUUUAUGAUCAUUACUUCAUGCA
Long non-coding RNA from Daucus carota subsp. sativus, 714 nucleotides. RefSeq lists it as uncharacterized. The record is from RefSeq and is a predicted model, not a curated record. The transcript has 2 exons. NCBI's taxonomy places the organism in Eukaryota, Viridiplantae, Streptophyta, Magnoliopsida, Apiales, Apiaceae.